RNAcentral lists this ribosomal RNA (750 nucleotides) under uncultured Gammaproteobacteria bacterium. RNAcentral describes it as "bacterial SSU rRNA". It matches the Rfam family "Bacterial small subunit ribosomal RNA", at positions 61 to 804 of the family's 1533-position model. The record is from RNAcentral. Lineage: Bacteria; Pseudomonadati; Pseudomonadota; Gammaproteobacteria.
GUCGAGCGGUAACAGGCGUAGCAAUACGUGCUGACGAGCGGCGAACGGGUGAGUAACGCUUCGGAAUCUGCCCAAUGGUGGGGAAUAACCAGCCGAAAGGUUGGCUAAUACCGCAUGAGCCCUACGGGGGAAAGCGGGGGAUCGCAAGACCUCGCGCCGAUGGAUGAGCCGAAGCCGGAUUAGCUAGUUGGUAGGGUAACGGCCUACCAAGGCGACGAUCCGUAGCUGGUCUGAGAGGACGACCAGCCACACUGGGACUGAGACACGGCCCAGACUCCUACGGGAGGCAGCAGUGGGGAAUAUUGGACAAUGGGGGAAACCCUGAUCCAGCGACGCCGCGUGUGUGAAGAAGGCCUGCGGGUUGUAAAGCACUUUUAGUGGGGAUGAAAAGCUCAGGGCUAACACCUCUGGGUCUUGACCUAACCCACAGAAAAAGCACCGGCUAACUCUGUGCCAGCAGCCGCGGUAAUACAGAGGGUGCGAGCGUUAAUCGGAAUUACUGGGCGUAAAGCGUACGUAGACGGUUGGAUAAGUCGGAUGUGAAAGCCCCGGGCUCAACCUGGGAAUGGCAUUCGAGACUGUGCAGCUAGGGUGCGGAAGAGGGAAGCGGAAUUUCCGGUGUAGCGGUGAAAUGCGUAGAUAUCGGAAGGAACACCAGUGGCGAAAGCGGCUUCCUGGUCCAGCACCGACGUUCAGGUACGAAAGCAUGGGGAGCAAACAGGAUUAGAUACCCUGGUAGUCCAUGCCAUA